GGAGUGUAGCAUAGAGGGAGGUAAAUACACAAACAGUAUAUACAUCACGCAUCCAUAUACACUCAUAAGUAUACAUAUAGGUCAGUAUAGACUGACUGGGUGUAUAUAUAAAUACAGGAAAUGAUAGUAGUUUCGAAAUAAUCUAGUUCAGUGUAAAAUUACUGUUAGAAAGAGGCAGAACUUAUUGAGCAACUAUGAAAGGGACCGGUUAUAUCGCACUAACGUGUCUUUUGAUAUUGUUGGCGGGUCUUCAGGAGAGCGAAGGUAUACAUACAUAUAUAUAUAUACAAAUGUAUUUAUAAUCGUACAUAUUUAUACAUAUACAGAUACAUACAGAUAUACACACAAUUGGGUGCGUACAUAUAUAUAUAUAUAUAUAAGUUUCCACGUAUGCACGCUGACAUUUGUGCGCACAAAGCGAAAUGGGAACAUUCUUUUCUCUCCGAGAAAAAAACAAUAACCUUCACACACACACACGCGCGCGCGCACGCACACACACACACACACGCACAAACACACACACAUACACACCCCCGCGUGCAUACAUCCAAACACAUAAGUAAGCAAACAUUCGAAAACAAAGCAAUGAUAAAUGUAGAAAUCUGUCUAUAUAAAUAUAUACUUUAUUUCAAAGCAGCAGAAACUUGUCCGACGAACGCGAACGUGAAACUCAGAGUAACAGGUUUUGUUGAAUUUUCUGCUGCUUUGAAAUAAAGCAUAUUACUCUACCCCUGGUAUUUGAGUACUCUUUUUUCCACCUUGUUUCACAUUUAUGUGUUUACUCCGGUAUAUAAAUAUAUAUAUACAUAUAUAUAUAUAUAUUAUAUAUAUAUAUAUAAACAUGAUUAUGUAUAUAUGUACACACACACAUAUACACACACACACGUACACACCCGUUCAUAUAUACACGCACACACAUCUCUGUGCGUGGUGUAUGCCUGUCAUACGUAUUUAUCCGCAUAUGUCUAUCUACACUCGUCCAAGUAUGUUUAUAUAUACAAACACACACACACACACACACACACACACACACACACACACACACAGUAAUUAUAAUUGUUUAUUUAUCUCUCUCUCUCUCUCUCUCUCUCUCUCUAUCAGACUGUCUUUCAGCUUCUCUUUCUCUUUGUCCCUCUCACCCUUUCUCUGUCUCCGUCUGUCUGUCUCUCUAUUUCUCAUCUCUCUCACUCACUCUCUCUCUCUCACUCACUCAUUCUCUCUCUCUCUCUUUCUCUUCGAAACGCGGAGUAGAUAAAAAAGGGGACAACUGACGAAGGCAAUGUACUUUACGUUUCCCGUCUCGUUCCUUUGUUUUUCGUUGUUCGAAAAAAAAGUUCGUUUUCUUGUUUUUGUUUUUUAUGUUCCCGUUUCUCAUUUUGACUACGUUUUUUAAUGUCCUGUACACAUAUAUGCAUGAAUAUAUACAUAUAUAUGUAAGUAUGUACAUAUACGUAUGUAUAUAUGCAUAUAUUUAUAUAUUAUUUAUAUUAUUAUAUGAUCAAACGCCACGCGUCCUUUUUCAAGUAAGUUUAAUAUAUAUAUAUAUAUGUGUGUGUGUAUGUAUGUACGCAUGUAUGUGUGUAUGUAUAUAUGUAUAUAUAUAUAUGUAUGUAUAUGUCUUUACUCAUCCAUAGAUGGGCAAGUGUUUUCUACUAUACCAUCGGUCCUUUUGAGUGGAUUUGAUAGACGGAAACUGAAAGAAGCCCGUCGUAUAGAUUUGUAUAUCGAUGUCAUUGUUCCCCCGCCAAACCAUCGCUUGAAGAAAGAUGUUGUUGUGUUCACAUCCCUAUAACGUAGCGGUUGGUCAAUAAAGCCCUAUAGCAUAAACAAUUGGCUUACAAAGAAUAAAGGCGGUGCUCCAGCAUGGCUGCAAUCAAAUGAUUAAAAGAAAAAUAAUAUACAUAUAUAUAUAUGUAAAACGAUAAUAUAUAUAUAUAUAUAUAUAUAUAUAUAUAUAUGCAGGUGUAUAUAUAUUUGCAUAUAAAUACCAUAUAUAUAUAUAUAUAUAUAUAUAUAUAUAUAUAUAUAUAUAUAUAUAUAUAUGUAUAUACAUAUAUGUACAUAUAUAUAUCUAUAUUUACAUAUAUAUAUAUGUAUAUAAAUAUAUAUAUACAUCUAUAUGUAUAUACAUAUAUAUAUAUAAGUAUGUAUAUAUAUAUAUAUAUGUACAUAGGUAUAUAUAUGUAUAUAUAUAUAUAUAUAUAUAUAUAUAUAUAAGUAUAUAUAUGUAUAUAGAGUUUUAUCAUGGCAACGGAAUAAUUGUCACAUAUUAUAUCACAAAUAAAUUCCUCUAUUUGCAUAAUAUCGAGGUCACUUAUUUUAUUUUUGUCUUACCAUUACUGUUAGUAUACACACAUACAUAUAUACACACACACAUACAUACACACAUACAUGAAUACAUACAUACAUACAUACGUACAUACAUACAUACAUACAUACAUACAUACAUACAUACAUACAUACAUACAUACAUACAUACAUACAUACAUACAUAUAUAUAUAUAUAUAUAUAUAUAUAUAUAUAUAUAUAUAUAUAUAUAUAUAUAUAUAUAUAUAUAUAUAUAUAUAUACAUUGAUAGGUUUCGGCAAGUAUUGAGCCAGGCCAUGACUAAAUUAAUAGCACCAUCUGGAGAAGUUAUGCAAAUCAGGUAUCGAACAACAUGGCCCACUUUAGCAAGAUGUUAUACCUGUACAUAUAUUAUAUUCAUAUAUGUAUAGAUGUAUCUUUUGUCUCAUAUGCGUGCUACCGCUCGCGCCCGCGUGUGUGUUUGUGUGUCUAUGCUUCUAUUAUCUCUAUACCUGCGUAUGAUGAAUGUGUUUUUGUUAUUCUUUGUUAGUAUUCCUGUGUAUAUUAUCUGAGUAAACAGCGGUUGCCAACCGUUUGUUUGUGUAAAUACUGAUUGAUGUAAGUGUGUACGUGCGUAUAUAUGAGUGUAUUAGUUUAUUUUGCUUUUGUAGAUUUGAAUCUGUGUGCAUGUGUACUUUUGUGUGCGUAUGUGUAUGCAUUUGUAUGCAGGAUCGUGCAUGCAUUUACGUGUUUGUGUAUUUUGUCUUUGUGUGAUUGUGUGUGUUGUUGUUUCGUACAUGCGUGUGUCCGUGUUCUUCUCUGUGUGUAUUUGUGCCUAUGUGUGUUUGUAUGUGUGUGUAAACGUGCAUAUGAGAAUGUCGUAUAUGUAUUUGCAUGUGUGUGUGUAUGUAUGUCUGUGAGUGUGUGUGCGUGAGUGCGAGUGCGUGUGUAUAUCUAUGUAUGUAUAUGUGCGUGAAUGAUUAAUAUUCUCGACACACCGUUGGUCAGAGACACCGAUCUUGUCAACAAAAUAAGCCACUAGGUUAUUCCAGAAAAAAAAAUAAUAAUAAAAGCGGCGAAAAAGAUCUUGCAUAAUUGAUAUCUAUUCAUGAAUGUAUAUAAAGAGCGGCAUAAUACAGUCUGCGCUAAAAGUUACGUAAUACAGCUUUUGGCAUUUUAUUUGAAUUAUGAUAUAUAUAAGGGUAAAGACCCCCUUCGGUUAUGAAUGACCAUGGGAUUGUACCUGGAAAGUUACCCUCCUAGACACAAGUCCGGGCAAGGUUGUUUAUAGAAGGCCAGCAGUCGCCCAUGCAUACCAGCCUCCCCUCUCCACGCCACCAGUGUUAUUCAAGGGAAAGACAAAGGUCGAUACAGCUUGGCACCAGUGAUGUCGCAACUCAUUUCUACAGCUAAGUGAACUGGAGCAACGUGAAAUAAAGUGCCUUGCUCGAGAACACAACACACAGCCCGGUCCGGGAUUCGAGCUCACAACCUCACGAUCGUAAGCUCGACGGUCUAACCACUGAGCCAUGCGCAUAUAUAUAUAUAUAUAUAUAUAUAUAUAUAUAUAUAUAUAUAUAUAUAUAUAUAUAUAUGUGUGUGUUUUUAUAUAUGUAUAUAUAUAUAUAUAUAUAUAUAUAUAUGUGUGUGUGUUUUUAUAUAUGUAUAUAUAUAUAUAUAUAUAUAUAUAUAUAUAUAUAUAUAUAUGUGUGUGUGUUUUUAUAUAUUAAUUAUAUAUAUAUAUAUAUAUAUAUAUAUAUGUGUGUGUGUUUUUAUAUAUGUAUAUAUAUAUAUAUAUAUAUAUAUAUAUAUAUAUAUAUAUAUAUAUAUAUAUAUAUAUUAAUAUAACCCCAAAUGUAAUUGGUAGAACUAUACGCAUGUAUACACGUUCCGUGUAUAGUUCUUCAUAUUAUAGUUUGCUUUGACGAUCACACUGAUGAAUUGCGGAUAUUUACGGAAAUAUUACGUAAGUGGUAACAAUGAAACAGGGUUUGUGAUUGUUCUUUAUAUCCUGAAUCUUUUCAUUUGCCUUGCUCCCUUACGUUCUGGCGUUUGAAGAAUUUUCUUGAGAACAAUCUUUUAUUAGUAGUCAGACCAUAUGAGGUCUACAUCUAGUAUAAUGGAUGUCCACUUAGUGUCCAUCCCUCUUAUGUAUAUAUACAUAAUCAAAAUAAGCAACAAAGGUAUCCAAUGUAGUGUAGUACAAUCGUUUCAUGCUACUUCAUUUUAUUAAACACUGUAAGUAUUACAUCAGUUUUAAAAUGUAGAGCAAUCUUCAGCCACAUAUAUGAUUUUUUAAUUAAAUGGACAAUGUAUAUACACACAUAUAUAUAUAUAUAUACACACAUAUAUACAUAUGUCUAUAUUUUACCUCUCGUGGUUCACGAUCUUACUGGCUCCGGCUAAUUCUGAGAGCAGACAGGAGAGCACACAUGUUGACAAAGAUCUCACAGAGUCUCUUUCUUCGGUUGAUCCAACCACCAAUCUCCAAAUCCUCGCUGUCUCCGACUGCGUAUCUUUUUUACCUUAUUAUUAUUAUUAUUAUUAUUAUUAUUAUUAUUAUUAUUAUUAUUAUUAUUAUUAUUAUUAUUAUUAUCAUUAUUAUCAUUAUUAUUAUUACUAUUAUUAUUAUUAUUAUUAUUAUUAUUAUUAUUAUUAUUAUUAUUAUUAUUAUUAUCAUUAUUAUUAUUAUCAUUAUUAUUAUUACUAUUAUUAUUAUUAUUAUUAUUAUUAUUAUCAUUAUUAUCAUUAUUAUUAUUAUUAUCAUUAUUAUUAUUAUCAUUAUUAUUUUUAUUAUCAUUAUUAUUAUUAUCAUUAUUAUUAUUAUUAUUGAGUGAGAGAGCAGUUCAUGCCAUCAAAGUGACACUGGGGUAAAAUAUACGAAGCCCAAUAUACCCAUCAUGACUACCCGUCUGAUAAAGGUACACCAGGCACAUGCAUCACAACCAUAUGUGCGCGACAUGGUGAUCUCAUAUCAAGAUAAACAGCACAUGACCUUGCAGGUGGGGCCCAGUUAGAAUUUUCUUCAGGUCGAGUAGCCCAUCCCGCUCAAACGGUCCCUGAAUAAGGGUUGUUUAAGGAUGUUGAAAGAACCACCCAUGUUUCCAGAGGUGAAUUAUUCAAACCCCAAAGAAUCCCUCUCAACACAUGGCUAUGAUGCUCCCCCACUACUUCUGCUCGUGAUCAGAGAUGCACAUAUCGUCAGCCACUAAGGGACAUGCUCAACUGGUUAUGGUCAAACAACUGACAAGCAAAUCUGUGGUAUUGAGCAGAAUAUUUGCUGUAGCCCAUCUUUUAUACCAAGACAAAACAAUGUACAUGAUAACACUUCCAAUCAGUUAAGAUCAGAAGCCAUGAGAGCCACUGCCUGGUACUGCAUCAGGGCUAUUAUUAUUAUCAUUAUUAUUAUUAUCAUUAUUAUUAUUAUUAUUAUUAUUAUUAUUAUUAUUAUUAUUAUUAUUAUUAUUAUCAUUAUUAUCAUUAUUAUUAUUAUUAUCAUUAUUAUCAUUAUUAUUAUUAUUAUCAUUAUUAUUAUUAUUAUUAUUAUUAUUAUUAUUAUUAUUAUUAUUAUUAUUAUUAUUAUUAUUAUUUAGGCGGUGAGCUCGCAGAAUCGUAAGUACGCCGGACGAAAUGAAUUCGCGUUGUUUCGUCCGUCGCUACGUUCUGAGUCCAAAUUUCGCCGAGGUCGACUCUGCCUUUCAUCAUUUCGGGGUCGAUAAGUUAAGGACAAGUGAAACAAAGAGUUCGACGUAAUCAAGUAGUCACGUCCCAUGAAAUGUCAGCCCUUGUGUCUUUAGUAGAAAGGACUCUUAGGGUUCAUUUAUUUAUUUCGUUCAUCAUGUACAUGAUGAACGAAAUAAAUAAAUGAACCGCAUUUGCAGCGGUACCCUCAAUACGAACAUUUCCGGGUGUUUGGGUGUCAAGCUGAGUAUUGUGCAGAGGAUUCGGAAAGAAUUGGAUGAGUCUAAUUGUGAUUACGAAGAUACAGCAGCUCGGAAAACUCACUCUCAUCGUUCUGAUAAGAAAAUAGCUCCUGAACAUGUUGGUGAGAUCCAGGCCAUGAUUGACAACGAUCCCUCCAAGGUAAUCAAUUCCAUCACCAGGGACAUGGGAGUGUCUCAGUUUCUUAUCAGGCAUGUAGUGCAUGAAGACAAGUUGAGAAAUGGCCAGUUUUUGUGCCAAGCUACAGGACUUAUCUACUAUCCACCUCCACAUCCGACCUUUUAAGGCCGUUUUUGGCCUGAAGCGGAUCGGUCAACUAUUUGUGGGUUAUAAAAGACUAAACGAUUUUCAAAAAUACAGAACGACCAUAUUUUAGAAGUCAGGUCGCAUUGUUAUUUGAGGAAUAAAAAGAUAUAAAUAAAAUAAACUAACUUUAUCUCAGAAGUCGAAACAUGACACCAAGGUCUCACCCCCUAUUUUAGAUAAACCCCCUACUCACCUCCCUCAAAAUACUUUAAGGUUUUUUGUUUAGAACUCUGUCGUCUAUCCAGUCUCUUACAGAUUCUAAAUUAAACAUGGCGGCCGUGUCUUUUGGAAACUGUACAGAAUAUUAUUAUACCGUUCCCUCUAAUCUUUGUAAUGCUAUAAAUUCUACCUUCUUCCCUUCUGUUACCGCAAUAUUUUCCCCAAAUCAACUACUAACCUGAGCAAGCGAAUUCAUACUUUUGACAGGAACUUCUGUUGGUGACAUUUGGAAUGUUUUAAAUGUUUAAAUUAUGUAUAUUCACCUGAUGAGAAAGUUUUUUUUGUAUAUAAUGUAAUAUCUCAAUACAUUAAUUAAAAAUUACUUUGGAAUCAGCUGUAGUGAAUAAACUAUUAACCAUCUGUAAUAUAUAUAUACACAUACACACACAUUUUUAUUCCUAUUAGGCAGAAACAACACACACACACAUGUAUAUAUAUAUAUAUAUUUCUUUAUUUUUGUACUUGUUUCCGUUAUUUCACUGUGGCCAUGCUGGGUCACAGCCUUAAUUGGAUUUCAUUGAAGAAACCUACCCCGGGACUUAUAAUUUGUAAGCCCAGUACUAAUUCUAUCGGUCUCUUUCGCCAAACCGAUAUGUUACGGGGACAUAAACAUAUGAGCAUAGGUUGUCAAGCGAUAGCGGCGAACAAACACACACACACACACAAACAUAUAUAUAUAUAUAUAAUGUAUAUAAUGUAUAUAAUGUAUAUAAUUUUCUCUUUCAGCGAAGAAGAAGUGCAUCAUUUACCGGUGUUUCGCUAAUCCCUGCCGUGGAAAAACAUGCCCGAACUUUCCAAACGCCGAAUGCAAGUGAGUAAAUUACAUCGAAUGAAAUAAUUCCUGUGGAACAUUCUUAUCCCUAUAACCAUCUUUCUUUUCGCCCUCCUUACUCCCACGCAAAAGUAAGCAAACAAUUGAUGAAGGGUAAUUAAAACUUUAAAAUGUCCUUAUAUGAUUUUGCUGUUUGCCAUAUGUGUUCGUGCGUCACACAUGAAACAGCGAUUUUUAACUUUCGUUUGUUUCAGUUUUUCGACCAUAUAUAUAUAUAUAUAUAUAUAUAUAUAUAUAUAUAUAUAUAUAUAUAUAUACGACAGGCUUCUUUCAGUUUCCGUCUACCAAAUCCACUCACAAGGCUUUGGUUGGCUCGAGGCUAUAGUAGAAGACACUUACCCAAUGUGCCACACGGUGGGAAUGAUUCUAGAACCAUGAGGUUGAUAAGCAAGUUACUUACCACGCAGCCACUCCUGCGCCUAUGUCCAGUGUUUUUCCUAGCUUUUCUUAAUUGACGAACCACUACGCAGAGGAGAGGUAAACGAAGCCAUAUUUGCUGUCAUAUGCUGUUGGACACGGUAACACAGAUACAUAGACACACAAACCCAUAGUAACGAAGCUAAAGUAAGCAGAGUAAGACCGCUUGGCAGAGAUUGACUAUAAACACUGUUGUGCAUAAGCCCUAAGUUUUAACGUUCUAGCUCCCUUUUGCUGUUUCCAACAGUGCUUGGAAAGAUGGUGUGUAGCGAGUGAUCGUCGCAUUGAACAUGACAGGGAAAGUUGAGUAGAGAACAUGCAUCAAAUUUGCCAAAAUCUUCGCGAUACCUUCUCAGAGGUAUACCCAAAGUUUCCAAGAAGGUUUCAUCAUUCUCGACGCAAUGGAGGAGAUGUUCUGCAACUUAAAGCCGGCUGUCUCUUUUAUCAGCUGAAAGCAGUUUAGGCACAAACUUGGAAGACCCAAAUAUUCAGUGAUAAGGGACUGAACUGAACCUUAAAUAAUCUGUACAUCCUCUGAUAACUCACGGAUGAUGAUUCGACGAUUUCCCCUCACGGUUGCACGCGCAUACGCAAUAGUUUUUUCAGUUCUUCUGGUUGCGGGUCUACGAGAACCUUCAUCUCUAUCGACAUUUUUCCGGCCAUCUUGGAAACGUCUGAACCACUCGUAUACUUGUAUGCGGCUCAUAAACUCCUAUUCAUACACUUUCUACAACCUCGAGUAGGCCUCUGAGCAGGUAUCACCAUGAGAACGUUAACAUGGCCAAUGCGAUGAUCGCACGCUACACACCUUCCUUCCAAACACUGCUUUGAACAGUGGAAGGGAGCUAGAACAUUAAGACUUAUGUUCAUAUAUAUAUAUAUAUAUAUAUAUAUAUAUAUAUAUAUAUAUAUAUAUAUAUAUAUAUAUAUAUAUAUAUAUAUAUAUAUAUAUAUAUAUAUAUAUAUAUAUAUAUAUUGUUAUAUUUCGGAAUGGUCAUAUUGCCAGUAUAGCCAAUAAAUCUUGCACAACAAAUAUUUAAACGUAUAUAUAUAUAUAUAUAUAUAUAUAACACACACACACACACACACACACACACACACAUAUAUAUAUAUAUAUAUAUAUAUAUAUAUAUUUAUAGCAUAUAUAUACAGUUUUGUAGCAACAUAGCACACGAUGGUAACUGGGGAUCAAACCGAGUGAAACGUAGUAUAGAUGUUGAUGUGAAUAUGUAUUCCAUCGCCAAAAAUGAGGCUAAACUUAAAGCAAAUGGUUCCUAUUUCGAAUCCAAUCAGGUAACACAUAUUUUACAAGCAAUAUCCCAUCUGAUCUCGAAUAGUGAUCACACCGAAUGAAAUAUAAUGUAGAUCUAGUUAUCCUGUCUGUAACUAUGGAGAUGGUUAUCGUCUCUCUAAAACUAAGGCUACCUCUGUUAGAAAUUACAAUGUUGUGAACACAGACCACAACACAGAUCAUACUGAUGACUUUUCAUUUUCCUAUCCUUCAUUUCAGAUCCAAUUAUUGUAAUGGAUGUAAUUACAACUUCUUCGUGAAUGAUGAGAAAGUAAAUUGCUGAAGUUACUUCUAUGAACAAACAAGACAUAAAUAAAAGUAACUAAAAAAAAAUUCAUUAAA
This 9636-nucleotide long non-coding RNA is filed under the name Octopus vulgaris (common octopus). The record is from RNAcentral. Lineage: Eukaryota; Metazoa; Mollusca; Cephalopoda; Octopoda; Octopodidae.